Molecule: ribosomal RNA, 491 nt
Filed under: uncultured bacterium
Lineage: Bacteria
Description: partial 16S ribosomal RNA
Rfam family: Bacterial small subunit ribosomal RNA
Source: RNAcentral
AGUGAACGCUGGCGGUAGGCCUAACACAUGCAAGUCGAACGGCAGCACAGUAAGAGCUUGCUCUUACGGGUGGCGAGUGGCGGACGGGUGAGGAAUACAUCGGAAUCUACUUUUUCGUGGGGGAUAACGUAGGGAAACUUACGCUAAUACCGCAUACGACCUACGGGUGAAAGCAGGGGAUCUUCGGACCUUGCGCGAUUGAAUGAGCCGAUGUCGGAUUAGCUAGUUGGCGGGGUAAAGGCCCACCAAGGCGACGAUCCGUAGCUGGUCUGAGAGGAUGAUCAGCCAAACGGGAACUGGAACACGGCCCAGACUCCUAGGGGAGGCAGAAGUGGGGAAUAUUGGAAAAGGGGCGCAAGCCUGAUCCAGCCAUACCGGGUGGGUGAAGAAGGCCUUCGGGUUGUAAAGCCCUUUUGUUGGGAAAAAAAAGCAGCAGGUUAAUACCCCGCUGUUCGGACGGUACCCAAAAAAAAAGCACCGGCAAACUUCGU